RNAcentral lists this ribosomal RNA (512 nucleotides) under Heterocarpus amacula. Its description in RNAcentral is "partial 16S ribosomal RNA". It matches the Rfam family "Bacterial large subunit ribosomal RNA", at positions 1824 to 2597 of the family's 2925-position model. The record is from RNAcentral. Lineage: Eukaryota; Metazoa; Arthropoda; Malacostraca; Decapoda; Pandalidae.
UGUAUGAUUAGUUAAUAUAAAGUCUGGCCUGCCCACUGAAGUUAUUUAAAGGGCCGCGGUAAUUUGACCGUGCGAAGGUAGCAUAAUCAGUAGUCUUUUAAUUGGAGGCUGGAAUGAAUGGUCGGACAAAGAGUUAGCUGUCUUUUAUAUAAAGUUUGAAUUUUACUUUUAAGUGAAAAGGCUUAAAUGUGUUAGGGGGACGAUAAGACCCUAUAAAACUUUACAAGCAAUGAUUUGUACUUUCUAAAUUAAAGUAUAAUGCUGUGUACUACUCUGUUUGUUGUGUUGGGGCGACAAAGAUAUAAUAAGUAACUGUUAAUUUUAUUGAAUAGAGAUAACUAGUUUAGUUGAUCCUUUAUUAGGGAUUAAAAGAUUAAGUUACUUUAGGGAUAACAGCGUAAUUUUCCUUGAGAGUCCUUAUCGACGGGAAUAGUUGCGACCUCGAUGUUGAAUUAAGAUUUCUUUUAGGUGUAGCAGUUUAAAGAGUGGGUCUGUUCGACCCUUAAAAUCUU